CCUACGGGAGGCAGCAGUGAGGAAUAUUGGUCAAUGGCCGGAAGGCUGAACCAGCCAUGCCGCGUGAAGGUCAGUGCCCUAUGGGCGUUAAACUUCUUUUGUGCGGGAGCAAUAAUGGUCACGUGUGGCCAGACGAGAGUACCGUACGAAUAAGCAUCGGCUAACUCCGUGCCAGCAGCCGCGGGAAUACGGGGGAGGCAAGCGUUAUCCGGAUUUAUUGGGUUUAAAGGGUGCGUAGGCUGGGAGGUAAGUCAGCGGGGAAAUGCCCCCGCUCAACGGGGUGAAGUGCCAUUGAUACUGGCUGGCUGGAAUGCGGAUGCCGUAGGAGGAAUGUGUGGUGUAGCGGUGAAAUGCAUAGAUAUCACACAGAACACCGAUUGCGAAGGCAUCUCACGAAUCCGCGAUUGACGCUGAUGCACGAAAGCGUGGGUAUCAAACAGGAUUAGAUACCCUGGUAGUC
This 460-nucleotide ribosomal RNA is filed under the name uncultured bacterium. Its description in RNAcentral is "partial 16S ribosomal RNA". It matches the Rfam family "Bacterial small subunit ribosomal RNA", at positions 338 to 795 of the family's 1533-position model. The record is from RNAcentral.